Molecule: long non-coding RNA, 971 nt
Filed under: Marmota monax (woodchuck)
Lineage: Eukaryota; Metazoa; Chordata; Mammalia; Rodentia; Sciuridae
Source: RNAcentral
GUGCCAAUACCAUGCUGUUUUUGUUACUAUUGCUCUGUAGUAUAGUUUGGUAUAGUGAUGCCACCUGCUUCAUUCUUCUUGCUAAGGAUUGCUUUAGCUAUUCUGGGUCUCUUAUUUUUCCAGAUGAUUUUCAUCACUGCUUUUUAUAUUUCUAUGAGGAAUGUCAUUGGGAUUUUGAUUGGAAUUGCAUUAAGUCUGUAUAGUGCUUUUGGUAGUAAGGUCAUUUUAGAUCAUACUACCCAUUAUUAGCAGAUUAAGUUGGCAAAGCGCUGAAAAGAAAAUAGUUCAGAUGCAUGUGGGUGAACAUUUGUGUCUUAUUUUGAAGCUAUUUGCUAAUUGAUAUUUACCUAGUGAAGAUUAUGUUUCUUAUUACUGGCCCGCAAAAUAAUUAUAAAGUACAUGGUUAUGAUGCUGAUAACAAAGGUGACUCUAGAAUAAAAAAAAAUUAAAUUAUUUUAUCAACUUUUAUUCAUGCUAAUGCUCUGUUCAGAAGUACAGGGAACUGUUUGUCCAGAUUCCUGAAUUUUCACCAGAAUUACAUUAUCUUCAAGAGGUAGGUCUUUUCUGUGAAUGUGUUUAAAAACCAGGUUAGUCUGUUUUAAACUCUGAUUUCACAACUUUGUGGAUGCAUACGUUGUCAAGGCCAUUGCUGAAAAAGUGGCAAGAGUUGCCUAAGUUUCUCUACUUAGCAUAGAAUAAAUAUAAAAAUAGCUUAGAUAAGAUCCUCAGCCAAAUUAGAAUUGCUGCCAUUUUCUGGCACUUACUGUAAGUUCACAGUUUCUUAACAAUAUCCAUAACCUUUUGAAACUUCAUUGUUAUGUCUACUGUUUUUUCUCCAAACCUAUUAGGCAAUUUUUUUCCCCUUGGGCCCUAUGUUUUGCUAUAAAAAAGAAUUAGUGCCUCCCUAGAGAUAGCAAAGCAUGUGGCAGUGAAUAAAAUGUGCAUAGAGAUGCAGAUGCAGUAACUGAAUG